GGGGGGCUAGCUCAGUUGGGAGAGCGCAACGUUCGCAACGUUGAGGUCGGGGGUUCGAUUCCCCUGCCCUCCACCA
Molecule: transfer RNA, 76 nt
Filed under: Nitrospirota bacterium
Lineage: Bacteria; Pseudomonadati; Nitrospirota
Also listed under: 1 other name
Description: tRNA-Ala
Rfam family: tRNA
About the family: Transfer RNA (tRNA) molecules are approximately 80 nucleotides in length.
Source: RNAcentral